AGCAGCCGCGGUAACACCGGCGGCCCGAGUGGUGAUCGUGAUUAUUGGGUCUAAAGGGUCCGUAGCCGGUUUGGUCAGUCCUCCGGGAAAUCUGAUAGCUCAACUAUUAGGCUUUCGGGGGAUACUGCCAGACUUGGAACCGGGAGAGGUAAGAGGUACUACAGGGGUAGGAGUGAAAUCUUGUAAUCCCUGUGGGACCACCUGUGGCGAAGGCGUCUUACCAGAACGGGUUCGACGGUGAGGGACGAAAGCUGGGGGCACGAACCGGAUUAGAUACCCGGGUAGUCCCAGCCGUAAACGAUGCUCGCUAGGUGUCAGGCAUGGCGCGACCGUGUCUGGUGCCGCAGGGAAGCCGUGAAGCGAGCCACCUGGGAAGUACGGCCGCAAGGCUGAAACUUAAAGGAAUUGGCGGGGGAGCACAACAACGGGUGGAGCCUGCGGUUUAAUUGGACUCAACGCCGGACAACUCACCGGGGGCGACAGCAAUAUGUAGGCCAAGCUGAAGACUUUGCCUGAAUCGCUGAGAAGAGGUGCAUGG
This 538-nucleotide ribosomal RNA is filed under the name uncultured archaeon. RNAcentral describes it as "bacterial SSU rRNA". It matches the Rfam family "Archaeal small subunit ribosomal RNA", at positions 460 to 997 of the family's 1478-position model. The record is from RNAcentral.